CAUCCAUUUGUUUCAAAAGCUAGAUAUAAAGUAAAUUUAGGUAGGGGAUCUGGUUGCUCAUAAUGCAGCUUGAGACAAUAGAUAGAAAUAAGGCAGUUGCUUAGGGACGACAUCAAAAGAUCGAUGUAGGAUAAAAAACUUAAAUCAAAUAGUUUGGGGGUGGGGGGGGUUAAACUUCUGCAAGUUUUGUAUAUCUAAAAUCGAUUUUUACAUAUAUCCCUAUUGGUAAAUCAAUGUUUCCCAAAUUAAGUUCAGAGGGGGGGUGGGGGGUCAGUGAAAAAACUAUGUGAAUUAAGUUUUUUAUCCUACAUUGAACUUUUGAUGUCAUCCCU
This 332-nucleotide long non-coding RNA is filed under the name Mytilus galloprovincialis (Mediterranean mussel). Lineage: Eukaryota; Metazoa; Mollusca; Bivalvia; Mytilida; Mytilidae. The record is from RNAcentral.